AGCGGGGUUUUCUUUGUGGUGAGGCUGGUGUGUCCCAACCCACUACGAGCUCUUCCCGGGACUUAGGGAAGGAGCGGGGAGGACAGCCUGGAGGGCCCACCUGUGCCUUUGUACGACCUGGGGGAGGGUCAGCUAAGCCCGCUGGACCCGCCGGUCUCCGGCGCCCUCACGUGGCCCUACGCUCCCCGCGGUGCGAUGGCAGCGCUGGUGACCCCGGCGCAGGUGGUGGUGACCUUUAAGAAUGUGGCUGUGACCAAGAGGAGUGGGGACAACUUGACCUGGACCAGAGGACUCUGUACCAGGAGGUGAUGCUGGAGACCUGUGAGCUACUGUUCUCACUGGGCUACCAAUCCUGAGUGGACUUCCCAACCCAUUGAUGACCUUCGUCAGAACAAGAAAAACUUCCCUGGGUCAGAAGCAGAUGACAUCUGAGUAGACAGCUCAUCGCAAGAGUCGAGACCAGGCCUGUAACCCCAACUUUGUUGAUAGUUUCAGACUGUUUUUCUUUUUUUUAACUGAGGUACCUAUAUACUUGACUUUGUCACAUUGAGGGUCAGUAAGCCUUUUUACCCCUUCCUCAUGUUUUCUUUAAUCCUGAUAAUCCUAAUAUUGGAAUUAUUCAUCUGUCAUAAAAUCUUUACCUUGAGGAAUGACAAAUUGAAAUUGUAAUGGUGUAAUCAUACUCAGGCAUACAAAAUGGAGUUGAGCAGCCAUUAAGGAUCAGAUCUCAGACACAUCCCGGCAUCACUGAGAAUUUGAACUUUCUUUGAACUGUACUAAACCCAAGGACACCAUCAGCCAUAUUUAGAACACUCAGAAGCUUCACCCUUCUGGUCUAAAAUUUCCCUUUGUAACUGCAACCAUUUUGAACCCCAACCAAUCCUUGUUAACAAGCUGCCUUGUUUCUUGCUUGCUCCAAUUAUAAUUCCUGACAGACAACUAUGUAACUCACUAUGGCUUGCAGUUUUUGCCUUCCAUUUUAAUCUUUCUCCAUUUUGUAGUAUAGUAGAAUACAAUUCACAUGCUCCUUGACUCUGUGUGUCCUGGACUAAAUACAUUUUGGGGGGUGGGGGGCGGCUUGCAGGAUCUUGGUUCCCUGACCAGGGAUUGAACCCGCACCCUUGGCAGUGAAAGGGCAGAGUCCUAAACAUUGGACUGCCAAGGAAUUCCCUCCUGGACUACAUUCUUAACAAAUCCCAAAUAAAUGCCUUUUUAUUUCAAUCAGGUCUGUUUCUGAAAUUUCAGUUUACAGAAGGAAGAAGUAAAACUCACUAUUUGCAGAUGGCAUGACACUGUAUAUAUAGAAACCCCAAAAACUCCACCAAAGAACUGUUAGAGCUAAGUGAAUUGACUAAAAUUGCAGAAUACAAAAUUAGUACACAGAAAUCUGUUGUAUUUCUGUACACUAAUAAUGAACUGUCAUAGAAAUGAAGAAAAUAAUUGCAUUUACAGUUGCAUCAAAAAGAAUAAAAUAUCUAGUAAUAAAUUUAACCAAGGAAGUGAAAGACUUCUAGUUUAAAAACUAUAAGACACUGAGGAAAUAAAUUGAAGAUGACACAAACAAAUGGGAAGAUAUACCAUGCUCAUGGAUUGGAAUAAUCAAUAUCAUGGAAAUAUACAUACUACUCAAAGCAAUCUACAGACUCAGUGCAAUCCUUAUCAAAAUACCAAUGAUAUUUUUCACCAGAACUAGAACAAAUAUUUCUAAAAUUUGUAUGGAACUACAAAAGACCCCAAAUACCCAAAGCAGUCUUGAGACAGAAGAGCAAAGCUGGAGGUAUCAUGCACCCAGACUUGAAACCAUACUACAAAGCUAUCAUAACCAAAACAGUAUGGUCUUGUCACAAAAUCAGACACAUAGAUCAAUGGAACAGAGUAAAAAGUCCAGAAGUAAACCCACAGUCAUAUGGUCAAUUUAUCUAUGACAAAGGAGGCAAGAGUGUACAAUUGGGAAAGGACAGUUGCCUCAAUAAAUGGUGGUGGUAAAACUAGGUAGCUACACGUGAAAGAAUAAAACUAGGGGGCUUCCCUGAUGGUACAGUUGUUAAGAAUCUGCCUGCCAAUGCAGGGGACACAGGUCUGAGCCCUGGUCCAGGAAGAUCCCACAUGCCACGGAGCAACUAAGCCCGUGCACCACAACUACAGAUUCUGCGCUCUAGAGCCUGUGAGCCACAACUACUGAGCCCACAUGCCAUAACUACUGAAGCCUGUGUGCCUAGAGCCUGUGCUCUGCAACAAGAGAAGUCACCACAGUGAAAAGCCUGUGCACUGCAACGAAGAGUAGCCCCCACUUGACGGAACUAAAGAAAGCCCACAUGCAGAAAUGAAGACCCAACACAGCCAUAAAUAAAUAAAUUUAUUUAUUUAAAAAAAAGAAUAAAACUAGACCACUUACACCACAUAUAAAAAUAAACUCAAAAUGGA
This is a long non-coding RNA of Globicephala melas (long-finned pilot whale), 2424 nucleotides long. RefSeq lists it as uncharacterized. The record is from RefSeq and is a predicted model, not a curated record. NCBI's taxonomy places the organism in Eukaryota, Metazoa, Chordata, Mammalia, Artiodactyla, Delphinidae.